Molecule: transfer RNA, 58 nt
Filed under: Rattus norvegicus (Norway rat)
Lineage: Eukaryota; Metazoa; Chordata; Mammalia; Rodentia; Muridae
Also listed under: 2 other names
Rfam family: tRNA
About the family: Transfer RNA (tRNA) molecules are approximately 80 nucleotides in length. Their secondary structure includes four short double-helical elements and three loops (D, anti-codon, and T loops). Further hydrogen bonds mediate the characteristic L-shaped molecular structure. tRNAs have two regions of fundamental functional importance: the anti-codon, which is responsible for specific mRNA codon recognition, and the 3' end, to which the tRNAs corresponding amino acid is attached (by aminoacyl-tRNA synthetases). tRNAs cope with the degeneracy of the genetic code in two manners: having more than one tRNA (with a specific anti-codon) for a particular amino acid; and 'wobble' base-pairing, i.e. permitting non-standard base-pairing at the 3rd anti-codon position.
Source: Rfam by way of RNAcentral
UGGCUCAGUGGUUAAGAGCACUGACUGCUCUUCCAGAGGACCUGGGUUCGAUUCCCAG